GAUGAACGCUAGCGGCAGGCUUAAUACAUGCAAGUCGAACGGGAAUUGGGUAGCAAUACCUGAUGAUAGUGGCGCACGGGUGCGUAACGCGUAUGCAACCUACCUUUAACAGGGGGAUAGCCCGGAGAAAUUCGGAUUAAUACCCCAUAGUAUUAUGGAGAGGCAUCUUUUCAUGAUUAAAGUUCCGGCGGUUAAAGAUGGGCAUGCGUGCCAUUAGCUAGUUGGUGAGGUAACGGCUCACCAAGGCGACGAUGGUUAGGGGUCCUGAGAGGGUUAUCCCCCACACUGGUACUGAGACACGGACCAGACUCCUACGGGAGGCAGCAGUAAGGAAUAUUGGUCAAUGGGCGGAAGCCUGAACCAGCCAUGCCGCGUGCAGGAAGACGGCCUUAUGGGUUGUAAACUGCUUUUUGUCAGGGAAUAAACCCUCGUUUGCGAACGAGGCUGAAGGUACCUGAAGAAUAAGCAUCGGCUAACUCCGUGCCAGCAGCCGCGGUAAAACGUG
RNAcentral lists this ribosomal RNA (505 nucleotides) under uncultured bacterium. Its description in RNAcentral is "bacterial SSU rRNA". It matches the Rfam family "Bacterial small subunit ribosomal RNA", at positions 28 to 529 of the family's 1533-position model. The record is from RNAcentral.